GAUGAACGCUGGCGGCGUGCCUAAUACAUGCAAGUCGAGCGAACAGACGAGGAGCUUGCUCCUCUGACGUUAGCGGCGGACGGGUGAGUAACACGUGGAUAACCUACCUAUAAGACUGGGAUAACUUCGGGAAACCGGAGCUAAUACCGGAUAAUAUAUUGAACCGCAUGGUUCAAUAGUGAAAGACGGUUUUGCUGUCACUUAUAGAUGGAUCCGCGCCGCAUUAGCUAGUUGGUAAGGUAACGGCUUACCAAGGCAACGAUGCGUAGCCGACCUGAGAGGGUGAUCGGCCACACUGGAACUGAGACACGGUCCAGACUCCUACGGGAGGCAGCAGUAGGGAAUCUUCCGCAAUAGGCGAAAGCCUGACGGAGCAACGCCGCGUGAGUGAUGAAGGUCUUCGGAUCGUAAAACUCUGUUAUUAGGGAAGAACAAAUGUGUAAGUAACUAUGCACGUCUUGACGGUACCUAAUCAGAAAGCCACGGCUAGCUACGUG
This 497-nucleotide ribosomal RNA is filed under the name uncultured bacterium. Its description in RNAcentral is "partial 16S ribosomal RNA". It matches the Rfam family "Bacterial small subunit ribosomal RNA", at positions 28 to 507 of the family's 1533-position model. The record is from RNAcentral.